RNAcentral lists this ribosomal RNA (650 nucleotides) under uncultured bacterium. Its description in RNAcentral is "bacterial SSU rRNA". It matches the Rfam family "Bacterial small subunit ribosomal RNA", at positions 42 to 736 of the family's 1533-position model. The record is from RNAcentral.
UCAGGCCUAACACAUGCAAGUCGAGCGGGCGUAGCAAUACGUCAGCGGCAGACGGGUGAGUAACGCGUGGGAACGUACCUUUUGGUUCGGAACAACACAGGGAAACUUGUGCUAAUACCGGAUAAGCCCUUACGGGGAAAGAUUUAUCGCCGAAAAAUCGGCCCGCGUCUGAUUAGCUAGUUGGUAGGGUAAUGGCCUACCAAGGCGACGAUCAGUAGCUGGUCUGAGAGGAUGAUCAGCCACAUUGGGACUGAGACACGGCCCAAACUCCUACGGGAGGCAGCAGUGGGGAAUAUUGGACAAUGGGCGCAAGCCUGAUCCAGCCAUGCCGCGUGAGUGAUGAAGGCCCUAGGGUUGUAAAGCUCUUUUGUGCGGGAAGAUAAUGACGGUACCGCAAGAAUAAGCCCCGGCUAACUUCGUGCCAGCAGCCGCGGUAAUACGAAGGGGGCUAGCGUUGCUCGGAAUCACUGGGCGUAAAGGGUGCGUAGGCGGGUCUUUAAGUCAGGGGUGAAAUCCUGGAGCUCAACUCCAGAACUGCCUUUGAUACUGAAGAUCUUGAGUUCAGGAGAGGUGAGUGGAACUGCGAGUGUAGAGGUGAAAUUCGUAGAUAUUCGCAAGAACACCAGUGGCGAAGGCGGCUCACUGGCCCG